AUUGAACGCUGGCGGCAGGCCUAACACAUGCAAGUCGAGCGGAAACGAGUUGUCUGAACCUUCGGGGAAUGAUAACGGCGUCGAGCGGCGGACGGGUGAGUAAUGCCUAGGAAAUUGCCUUGAUGUGGGGGAUAACCAUUGGAAACGAUGGCUAAUACCGCAUAAUGCCUACGGGCCAAAGAGGGGGACCUUCGGGCCUCUCGCGUCAAGAUAUGCCUAGGUGGGAUUAGCUAGUUGGUGAGGUAAUGGCUCACCAAGGCGACGAUCCCUAGCUGGUCUGAGAGGAUGAUCAGCCACACUGGAACUGAGACACGGUCCAGACUCCUACGGGAGGCAGCAGUGGGGAAUAUUGCACAAUGGGCGCAAGCCUGAUGCAGCCAUGCCGCGUGUAUGAAGAAGGCCUUCGGGUUGUAAAGUACUUUCAGCAGUGAGGAAGGGGGUGUCGUUAAUAGCGGCAUCUCUUGACGUUAGCUGCAGAAGAAGCACCGGCUAACUCCGUGCCAGCAGCCGCGGUAAUACGGAGGGUGCGAGCGUUAAUCGGAAUUACUGGGCGUAAAGCGCAUGCAGGUGGUUUGUUAAGUCAGAUGUGAAAGCCCGGGGCUCAACCUCGGAACUGCAUUUGAAACUGGCAAACUAGAGUACUGUAGAGGGGGGUAGAAUUUCAGGUGUAGCGGUGAAAUGCGUAGAGAUCUGAAGGAAUACCAGUGGCGAAGGCGGCCCCCUGGACAGAUACUGACACUCAGAUGCGAAAGCGUGGGGAGCAAACAGG
Molecule: ribosomal RNA, 769 nt
Filed under: uncultured bacterium
Lineage: Bacteria
Description: bacterial SSU rRNA
Rfam family: Bacterial small subunit ribosomal RNA
Source: RNAcentral